This 1265-nucleotide ribosomal RNA is filed under the name Frigoribacterium sp. MEB024. Its description in RNAcentral is "bacterial LSU rRNA". It matches the Rfam family "Bacterial large subunit ribosomal RNA", at positions 1 to 1219 of the family's 2925-position model. Lineage: Bacteria; Bacillati; Actinomycetota; Actinomycetes; Micrococcales; Microbacteriaceae. The record is from RNAcentral.
UGUGGUCAAGUUUCUAAGAGCAAACGGUGGAUGCCUUGGCAUCUGGAGCCGAAGAAGGACGUAGAAAUCUGCGAUAAGCCUCGGGGAGCUGAUAAUCGAGCCCUGAUCCGAGGAUUUCCGAAUGGGGAAACCCCGCCAGGCGUUAUGUCUGGUGACUCCCGCCUGAAUAUAUAGGGCGGGUAGAGGGAACGUGGGGAAGUGAAACAUCUCAGUACCCACAGGAAGAGAAAACAACAGUGAUUCCGUCAGUAGUGGCGAGCGAAAUCGGAAGAGGCUAAACCGGUCAUGUGUGAUAGACGGCGGUCGUUGCAUGGUCGGGGUUGUGGGACCCGUUGUCCUGUUCUGCCGGACAGGGACAGUUACAGCGCAGUAUAGGCGAACAGCUUUGAAUGGCUGGUCAUAGAGGGUGCGAACCCCGUAGCCGAAAUGCUGGCGCUGGCUGAAUGGGGAUCCCAAGUAGCUCGGGGCCCGAGAAAUCCCGUGUGAAUCUGUCAGGACCACCUGAUAAGCCUAAAUACUCCCAGAUGACCGAUAGCGGACAAGUACCGUGAGGGAAAGGUGAAAAGUACCCCGGGAGGGGAGUGAAAUAGUACCUGAAACCGUUUGCUUACAAACCGUUGGAGCCUCCUUGUAGGGGUGACAGCGUGCCUUUUGAAGAAUGAGCCUGCGAGUUAGCGAUAUGUGGCGAGGUUAACCCGUGUGGGGUAGCCGUAGCGAAAGCGAGUCUUAAUAGGGCGAUCCAGUCGCAUGUCCUAGACCCGAAGCGAAGUGAUCUAUCCAUGGCCAGGUUGAAGCGACGGUAAGACGUCGUGGAGGACCGAACCCACUUAGGUUGAAAACUGAGGGGAUGAGCUGUGGAUAGGGGUGAAAGGCCAAUCAAACUUCGUGAUAGCUGGUUCUCUCCGAAAUGCAUUUAGGUGCAGCGUUGCGUGUUUCUUGCCGGAGGUAGAGCUACUGGAUGGCCGAUGGGGCCCAAAAGCUUACUGACGUCAGCCAAACUCCGAAUGCCGGUAAGUGAGAGCGCAGCAGUGAGACGGUGGGGGAUAAGCUUCAUCGUCGAGAGGGAAACAACCCAGACUACCAACUAAGGUCCCUAAGCGUGUGCUAAGUGGGAAAGGAUGUGGAGUUGCAUAGACAACCAGGAGGUUGGCUUAGAAGCAGCCACCCUUGAAAGAGUGCGUAAUAGCUCACUGGUCAAGUGAUUCCGCGCCGACAAUGUAACGGGGCUCAAGCACACCACCGAAGUUGUAGAUUUCGUAUUAUAG